GACUUCUCUGAUGUCCUUAGUGGUUAGAGCAUUUGUCUCGGAUGCAGGAGGUUGCUGGUUCAAACCCAGGACAAGUCA
This is a non-coding RNA of Potamilus streckersoni, 78 nucleotides long. The record is from the annotation of a GenBank genome assembly. Lineage: Eukaryota; Metazoa; Mollusca; Bivalvia; Unionida; Unionidae.